This is a long non-coding RNA of Phasianus colchicus (ring-necked pheasant), 1646 nucleotides long. Lineage: Eukaryota; Metazoa; Chordata; Aves; Galliformes; Phasianidae. The record is from Ensembl.
GUUGGCCUCUCCCAACAGAAAGAAUUCCAUAUGCACAACGUUUACAGCACUGUGUCAGCAGUGUGCUCAGAGUGUGUUUCAGGGUGUUAACGUCUGUGAUGUAUAUGCUUGCCCUCAUUCAGAGAGUGUGGCUUCACUCCUAAUUAAGGAGUGCAGUAAUCAGCCGAGGGGUUUGGUGUGUGAAGCUGGAGAGCCAAAAUUACUUGUGAAUUCAGUUCAGAUUCAAUGAGUUAUUUUCAGCCACGCUCGAAAUGGUUAUGUUUCAUUUCUACAUUUUGAAACAAAGUACUUCCAUUUCAAAACAAAUCUAAUUUCCUUCUUAGAGUGUGAAAUGAUAAUUUUGUUUUGCUGUAGAGAGUAUUCUUAGGUUGAUCCAAGCCACUAGUAUUGUUGUGUUGGUGCUGUUGUUUGUUUUUUGUUUUUUUUUUUUAAUUUUUAUUAUUAUUCUUAUUGUUAUUUGGUUGUCAGCUUGAAAAAAUUAACUAUUUGCACAGUUGGUUCCAUGAGACAGAUGAGCAGCUCUGGGGCCAUACCUGAGAUGAGGGGCUCUGCCAAGAAGCUGGUGAGGCCGGAUGGAUUUAUCCAGUGCACUCUGCUGGGCUCUGGGUUCUUCGAUGGGACAGAGAAGAACGAAUGCCAAAGUUGAACGAGUUACAGCCGCUACUACCUAAUUAAAAUGAUUUUGUGCCAGUUGCUUUUGUUGGGUAGGAUCCACACAUAAUAUAAUUUUAAUCCUGUUUAUAUACACUCCGGGGACAGAUUUGAGAUCAGCAUUGCCAUUUAAGUGAGGUUAAUCAAGCAUACCGUAUGCAGCUUUUGUUUCUCGACGCUAUGUGAAAGGUGACCACAGCUGAUGGGCUCCUGACUGGCCGUUCGCUGCAAACCCCACCACUUCCUUGUUAACAGAGUGUCUGAUCAUUAACCCAACCCCAGCCCCGAUGACUUCUCCUGCCCGCUCCUUGGAAUUGCGCAGCUGUUGUUAUUCACAGAGGAGCUCGUAGUUAUGAACUGGGUCGUACUGGCAGCGGGUACGCGAUUGUGCCGAGGGUAGGAAACAAGUAAGAAAUAAUUACAUCUUCCCGAAAAACAAAUGCUAUUUUUUUUUGUAUUCGCGGCGCGUUUUAUGUAUGUAUAAAGGACAUUAUGGCAAAAUUAAAAAAGACCCUCAUAAAAAUCCUUCUUGAAAAGUAUUGUUGCUGACAGCCGUGACCUCUGUGAGUCUGCAUGUUUACCCAUAAUUCAUAAUUAACAAAGACAUUAGAACUGCCACUGGAGGAUUCUGGGCUUUAUUUCUUUCUAACUGGGCAGUACUAAUGCUGGAAGUGCUCCCAAUUCAGUGAUUUAACAUUUCAGGAAAUCUUGGAGAGGCAGCAGAAGCCUCCUUAUAUAGUUCAUACUCUGGGACUGUGGUUAUACAGAUAUGGCUGAGAUAAUUAUUCAGCUCUUGUUAUUGCUGUAGUUCUGCACCUGAUCCCUGAGCCAUUAGAGCACUCUGCAGGUUAUUACAACUAUCAAACAUCAAGGUCUCUUUUCUAGUCUCUCGACUAUGUGGUUAUCGUUCUGCUUCUUCUAAAUCCUCCAUCUGCAUAGAAAGCUUCUGUGCUCUGACUUAGAGAUCUGCUAACACUAAUUUUUUUUUUUUUAUG